UACGUAGGCAGCGAGCGUUGUUCGGAGUUACUGGGCGUAAAGAGUGCGUAGGUGGUCCUCUAAGUUUGGUGUGAAAUCUCCCGGCUCAACUGGGAGGGUGCGCCGAAAACUGGAGGGCUUGAGUGUGGGAGAGGAAAGCGGAAUUCCUGGUGUAGCGGUGAAAUGCGUAGAUAUCAGGAGGAACACCUGCGGUGUAGACGGCUUUCUGGACCACUACUGACACUGAGGCACGAAAGCGUGGGGAGCAAACAGG
RNAcentral lists this ribosomal RNA (253 nucleotides) under uncultured bacterium. RNAcentral describes it as "partial 16S ribosomal RNA". It matches the Rfam family "Bacterial small subunit ribosomal RNA", at positions 524 to 776 of the family's 1533-position model. The record is from RNAcentral.